AGGGGACUCACCCAGGGACAACAGACCAGCACGCUGGGACUAUCUGGGCAGCUCGUACACGGCAAGCGGGGUGGCUUAGGCACUAUUGUGUGAACAGGGAAUUCACACGGGAUAGAACAACAUCCCUUCCUCAGGGAGCUUCUGCCCUAGAGAGAGAGCUCUGCUGUGGGUCAGGGUGUUUUCAUCGACUCCCACUCACCCUGCUGGUGAAGGAGGGAUUCUCAUCCCAGGGUUAUGGGGAUGGCCCAACACACAACGUUGACACACUGGACAGAAGACACAGACAAAAGUUUCUGAGGCUUAUAUGCCCACAGCCUGGGAGAGGAGGGGGAGGAGCAGACCUCUACAGCGACCAAGGAGGAGGGCCAGAUACAACUAACUGGAAGCUGAGGAGCGGGUUCUCAACUUGACCCUCUGAGGGCACAGGAGACAUUACUGAGCAGGUGCA
This 448-nucleotide long non-coding RNA is filed under the name Homo sapiens (human). RNAcentral's name for it is "HSALNT0035754". Lineage: Eukaryota; Metazoa; Chordata; Mammalia; Primates; Hominidae. The record is from RNAcentral.